UUGGGGGCUGUGAUGCGACGUGAUAAGGGAUUUUCUGAGGGACGGAGCCGCCUGGUUUCCGCCCUGCUGACUGACAGAAAUCAAUGGAUCCUUCUGAGCUUGCCC
RNAcentral lists this small nucleolar RNA (105 nucleotides) under Setaria italica (foxtail millet). RNAcentral also lists the same sequence under 1 other name. The record is from RNAcentral. Lineage: Eukaryota; Viridiplantae; Streptophyta; Magnoliopsida; Poales; Poaceae.